GACGAACGCUGGCGGCGUGCUUAACACAUGCAAGUCGAACGGAAAGGCCCUGCUUUUGUGGGGUGCUCGAGUGGCGAACGGGUGAGUAACACGUGAGUAACCUGCCCUUGACUUUGGGAUAACUUCAGGAAACUGGGGCUAAUACCGGAUAGGAGCUCCUGCUGCAUGGUGGGGGUUGAAAAGUUUCGGCGGUUGGGGAUGGACUCGCGGCUUAUCAGCUUGUUGGUGGGGUAGUGGCUUACCAAGGCUUUGACGGGUAGCCGGCCUGAGAGGGUGACCGGCCACAUUGGGACUGAGAUACGGCCCAGACUCCUACGGGAGGCAGCAGUGGGGAAUAUUGCACAAUGGGCGGAAGCCUGAUGCAGCAACGCCGCGUGCGGGAUGACGGCCUUCGGGUUGUAAACCGCUUUCGCCUGAGACGAAGCGUGAGUGACGGUAAUGGGUAAAGAAGCACCGGCUAACUACGUG
RNAcentral lists this ribosomal RNA (468 nucleotides) under uncultured bacterium. RNAcentral describes it as "partial 16S ribosomal RNA". It matches the Rfam family "Bacterial small subunit ribosomal RNA", at positions 28 to 507 of the family's 1533-position model. The record is from RNAcentral.